This 497-nucleotide ribosomal RNA is filed under the name uncultured bacterium. RNAcentral's name for it is "partial 16S ribosomal RNA". It matches the Rfam family "Bacterial small subunit ribosomal RNA", at positions 28 to 507 of the family's 1533-position model. The record is from RNAcentral.
GAUGAACGCUGGCGGCGUGCCUAAUACAUGCAAGUCGAGCGAACGGACGAGAAGCUUGCUUCUCUGAUGUUAGCGGCGGACGGGGGAGUAACACGUGGAUAACCUACCUAUAAGACUGGGAUAACAUCGGGAAACCGGAGCUAAUACCGGAUAAUAUUUUGAACCGCAUGGUUCAAAAGUGAAAGACGGUCUUGCUGUCACUUAUAGAUGGAUCCGCGCUGCAUUAGCUAGUUGGUAAGGUAACGGCUUACCAAGGCAACGAUGCAUAGCCGACCUGAGAGGGUGAUCGGCCACACUGGAACUGAGACACGGUCCAGCCUCCUACGGGAGGCGGCAGUAGGGAAUCUUCCGGAAUGGGCGGAAGCCGGACGGAGCAACGCCGCGUGAGUGAUGAAGGUCUUCGGAUCGUAAAACUCUGUUAUUAGGGAAGAACAUAUGUGUAAGUAACUGUGCACAUCUUGACGGUACCUAAUCAGAAAGCCACGGCUAACUACGUG